CCUACGGGAGGCAGCAGUGGGGAAUAUUGCACAAUGGGGGAAACCCUGAUGCAGCGACGCCGCGUGAGUGAAGAAGUAUUUCGGUAUGUAAAGCUCUAUCAGCAGGGAAGAAGAAAGACGGUACCUGACUAAGAAGCCCCGGCUAACUACGUGCCAGCAGCCGCGGUAAUACGUAGGGGGCAAGCGUUAUCCGGAUUUACUGGGUGUAAAGGGAGCGUAGACGGCUGUGCAAGUCUGAAGUGAAAGCCCAGGGCUCAACCCUGGGACUGCUUUGGAAACUGUGGAGCUAGAGUGCUGGAGAGGUAAGUGGAAUGCCUAGUGUAGCGGUGAAAUGCGUAGAUAUUAGGAGGAACACCAGUGGCGAAGGCGACUUACUGGACAGUAACUGACGUUGAGGCUCGAAAGCGUGGGGAGCAAACAGGAUUAGAUACCCGAGUAGUC
Molecule: ribosomal RNA, 441 nt
Filed under: uncultured bacterium
Lineage: Bacteria
Description: partial 16S ribosomal RNA
Rfam family: Bacterial small subunit ribosomal RNA
Source: RNAcentral